Molecule: ribosomal RNA, 250 nt
Filed under: uncultured bacterium
Lineage: Bacteria
Description: partial 16S ribosomal RNA
Rfam family: Bacterial small subunit ribosomal RNA
Source: RNAcentral
GACGAACCGUGCGAACGUUGUUCGGAUUCACUGGGCUUAAAGGGCGCGUAGGCGGGCCGGCCCGUCCGGGGUGAAAUCUUUCGGCUUAACCGGAAAAGCGCCUCGGAGACCGCCGGCCUGGAGUGAGGUAGGGGCAGGUGGAACUUCCGGUGGAGCGGUGAAAUGCGUUGAUAUCGGAAGGAACGCCGGUGGCGAAAGCGGCCUGCUGGACCUCGUCUGACGCUGAGGCGCGAAAGCCAGGGGAGCGAAC